Juglans microcarpa x Juglans regia is the source of this 285-nucleotide long non-coding RNA. RefSeq lists it as uncharacterized. The record is from RefSeq and is a predicted model, not a curated record. The transcript is spliced from 2 exons. NCBI's taxonomy places the organism in Eukaryota, Viridiplantae, Streptophyta, Magnoliopsida, Fagales, Juglandaceae.
UGUCCUUCAACAACAGAAUUAAAUACACGUGUAAGAAUACUUAUAAAUACAUUGAUAAUUAAAGCGACGUGCACCAGCUAGUAUUGCUCGAAAACAGUACCCCUAGCUAAGGCUAAGGGUUAACCCAUGCGAAUCUCAAAGCGGCACACAAGUAGUACUGUUUAAUUAGCAGUACAGUUCGGAUAUAAAAAUCAUUUCAACUUAUUUUAUUUAAUUUUAUCAUUAUAAUUUUCAUAAAUUUCUAAAUAAAAUAAAAUAAAUAAUUUAAUUUUUUAGAUAAUUUUA